GGGUGCGUAAUUCAGAGGUUUAGAAUACGAAACUUUUAAUUUCGGAGUCGUGGGUUCGAAUCCCACCGCACCUA
Molecule: transfer RNA, 74 nt
Filed under: Candidatus Theseobacter exili
Lineage: Bacteria; Pseudomonadati; Candidatus Auribacterota; Candidatus Auribacteria; Candidatus Theseobacterales; Candidatus Theseobacteraceae
Description: tRNA-Lys
Rfam family: tRNA
About the family: Transfer RNA (tRNA) molecules are approximately 80 nucleotides in length.
Source: RNAcentral